GAUGAACGCUGGCGGCGUGCCUAAUACAUGCAAGUCGAGCGAACAGACGAGGAGCUUGCUCCUCUGACGUUAGGGGCGGACGGGUGAGUAACACGUGUAUAACCUACCUAUAAGACUGGGAUAACUUCGGGAAACCGGAGCUAAUACCGGAUAAUAUAUUGAACCGCAUGGUUCGAUGGUAAAAUACGGUGGUGCUGUCACUUAUAGAUGGAUCCGGGCGGCAUUAGAUAGUUGGUAAGGUAAUGGCCUAGCAAGGCAACGAUGCGUAGCCGACCGGAGUGGGUGGUCGGCGACAUGGGAGCGGGGACGGGGACAAGGGGACUACGGGAGGCAGCAGUAGGGAACCUGCGGCAAUAGGCGAAAACAUGACGGAGCAGGCCGGCGUGAGAGACAACGGUCUUCGGAUCGUAAAACUCUGUUAUUAGGGGAGAACAAAUGUGUAAGGAAAUAUGCAGGUAUUGACGGUACUGGAUCAGAAAGCAACGGCUAACUACGUG
RNAcentral lists this ribosomal RNA (497 nucleotides) under uncultured bacterium. RNAcentral describes it as "partial 16S ribosomal RNA". It matches the Rfam family "Bacterial small subunit ribosomal RNA", at positions 28 to 507 of the family's 1533-position model. The record is from RNAcentral.